GGUUGUGUGGCCGAGCGGUCUAAGGCGCCUGAUUCAAACUCAGGUAUCGUAAGAUGCAAGAGUUCGAAUCUCUUCGCAACCA
Molecule: transfer RNA, 82 nt
Filed under: Eremothecium cymbalariae DBVPG#7215
Lineage: Eukaryota; Fungi; Ascomycota; Saccharomycetes; Saccharomycetales; Saccharomycetaceae
Also listed under: 1 other name
Description: tRNA-Leu
Rfam family: tRNA
About the family: Transfer RNA (tRNA) molecules are approximately 80 nucleotides in length. Their secondary structure includes four short double-helical elements and three loops (D, anti-codon, and T loops).
Source: RNAcentral